Molecule: ribosomal RNA, 490 nt
Filed under: uncultured bacterium
Lineage: Bacteria
Description: partial 16S ribosomal RNA
Rfam family: Bacterial small subunit ribosomal RNA
Source: RNAcentral
AUUGAACGCUGGCGGCAUGCUUUACACAUGCAAGUCGGACGGCAGCGGGGUAGUGCUUGCACUACUUCCGGCGAGUGGCGAACGGGUGAGUAAUAUAUUGGAACGUACCGAGUAAUGGGGAAUAACAAUUCAAAGGUUUGGCUAAUACCCCUUAGCUCCUGAGGAGGAAGGCGGGGAACCUUCUGUCCUUGGUUUUUUCUGGCGGCCAUUAUUGGAUUCGUUAGUUGUGGGGGUAAGGCCCUCCAAGGGCGCCGAUCAGUACAGGGUCUGAGAGGAUGAUCCGCCACACUGGGACUGAGACACGGCCCAGACUCCUACGGGAGGCAGCAGUGGGGAAUGUUGGACAAUGGGCGCAAGCCUGAUCCAGCCAUGCCGCGUGUCUGAAGAAGGCCUUCGGGUUGUAAAGGACUUUUGUUAGGGAAGAAAAAGGAGCGGUUAAUACCCGUUUCUGCUGACGGUACCUAAAGAAUAAGCACCGGCUAACUACGUG